This is a long non-coding RNA of Telopea speciosissima, 134 nucleotides long. RefSeq lists it as uncharacterized. The record is from RefSeq and is a predicted model, not a curated record. NCBI's taxonomy places the organism in Eukaryota, Viridiplantae, Streptophyta, Magnoliopsida, Proteales, Proteaceae. The transcript is spliced from 3 exons.
AUAUCCAGCGAAGAAGUCAAGUGAACUAAUAUUUCAGAUAACAAAUUUGGUUUUAUGCUGGGAAGAUCAACCACAGAAGCUAUUUAUUUGCUUAGGAGGCUAAAGGGAAGAUUUAGAGAAUGUAAGAAGCAUCU